CUUUUAAAGGAUCCAAGU
RNAcentral lists this transfer RNA (18 nucleotides) under Egernia depressa. RNAcentral's name for it is "partial tRNA-Leu". Lineage: Eukaryota; Metazoa; Chordata; Lepidosauria; Squamata; Scincidae. RNAcentral also lists the same sequence under 1 other name. The record is from RNAcentral.